GUGAUGUGGAGACGCUGCAUGAAGAUUGAGCAAAAGCUGGCGCAUGAGGUUAGCAGGUCCGGCUGUGAUUGUUAGCUUUCAAACAAUAAAUCAGGGGCAAGAGCCAGGAGGUGCAGGUGGCCUUCAGAAGCUGAAAAAGGCGAGACAACAGAGUCCCAAGGAAGAAGUACAGUCCCCCACCCCCCACAUCUUGAUCUUAGCCAGGCGAAUCUAUCGUCGAACAUCCGACCUCCAGAAAGUUCUUCAAGCAAGGAUAUCAAGCUGCUCAAUGAGACAAUUUGAGGCAUGGAUGGGCCAGAAUAUCUGAGGUGCUGUCAUUCCAAUUACUCCACUGUGCAGAUCUCUUUAGAAUCAAGUCAGCCCUCGGCGGAGUGCCAGCAGGAUGGAUCCUGAAACCUACUGUCUUCUCAUUACACACUUACUUGGUAUGCAUCAGCCCUGAGACAUUGAUGUGUGAGCCACUUGACGUUUUGAUGUCUACAGCCCAAACUCAAGCCUUUUCUCAGAGAUCCUACUCCAGGCUUACACGUCUGGGUCUCAAAGACAGUCCAUUCUCCACACAUCAACCGGAGUGGGAUUUCUCCAAAUGCUGAGCUGCGCAUGUCGUCUGCACGUCUUCAAACUUUUCAGUGGAUGCCGGGGGUCUUGUAAUGAAGAGCAACAAUUACCAGGGUUCCAAGUCUCUUUAACGCAUCCUGUCUCAUAAUCCUCUUCCCUCUGAUCUCUCCACCCCGGCCACCGUGAUCUGCCAUCAGUUCCUUAAAUGAGUCACCUUCACCCAGGAGCAAGGCCUUGACAUAGGUGGUUUCCUUUGUCUGAAAAGCUAUCUCCAUUCCGAAGUCUGCCACCGUAACAUCUCAGUGCCCUUUACUCCCCAACCCUAGUACCACUUCCUCCCUGAAGCUCUUCCUAAUCGCCCAUCCUGGAUGAGUCUGUACAUUUUAUUAAAGGACCUUA
Molecule: non-coding RNA, 957 nt
Organism: Manis javanica (Malayan pangolin)
Lineage: Eukaryota; Metazoa; Chordata; Mammalia; Pholidota; Manidae
Source: RefSeq, a predicted model, not a curated record